AGAGUUUGAUCAUGGCUCGGAUGAACGCUAGCUACAGGCUUAACACAUGCAAGUCGAGGGGAAACGGAACAUCGAAAGCUUGCUUUUGUAUGGGCGUCGACCGGCGCACGGGUGAGUAACGCGUAUCCAACCUGCCCACCACUUGGGGAUAACCUUGCGAAAGUAAGACUAAUACCCAAUGAUAUCUCUAGAAGACAUCUGAAAGAGAUUAAAGAUUUAUCGGUGAUGGAUGGGGAUGCGUCUGAUUAGCUUGUUGGCGGGGUAACGGCCCACCAAGGCGACGAUCAGUAGGGGUUCUGAGAGGAAGGUCCCCCACAUUGGAACUGAGACACGGUCCAAACUCCUACGGGAGGCAGCA
This 358-nucleotide ribosomal RNA is filed under the name uncultured bacterium. RNAcentral describes it as "bacterial SSU rRNA". It matches the Rfam family "Bacterial small subunit ribosomal RNA", at positions 8 to 353 of the family's 1533-position model. The record is from RNAcentral.